Molecule: long non-coding RNA, 822 nt
Organism: Paramormyrops kingsleyae
Lineage: Eukaryota; Metazoa; Chordata; Actinopteri; Osteoglossiformes; Mormyridae
Source: RefSeq, a predicted model, not a curated record
GGAUAUUCAGAAUUGAAGAAAGGAUGAGAUGACAUUCUCACCCUGAAGGAAUUGGAAAUGGGAAAAGUGGAAUCCACUAAUAGGUCUGUGUUCCAGCCUUGAGUUGACAUCAUUACAGUCUGGAGCGAUGGAGAGAGCUGGGAAUCCUCAGCUUGUACUAUGCUGAAGGGACAGAAGACUGCAGGCUCCUAUUGCAGUUCAGGUGGUUCAUUGGGAAGGUAAUGAACAGAAGUUUGUGCUGAAAGGACACCGACAUUGCAGGCGGUACAGAUGUAAUUUAGGAAAAUGCUGAAAUCCACAUUUAAAGAACCACUGCGGUUCUUGUGCCCUUUGACGGACUCUUGCCAUGAGCCCUAUGCAGUUCCAGGUUCCACCAUGAUGCACUCUGGGUUAAGCGUUUGGAAGAUGGAGUCACGCUAGUGUCCAUAGCCAGUGAAUGUUCACCUAAAUGUAUGCACCUAACAUUUCUCUUGCAAAGAAAUUGCUUAAACCUGCCAGCUCACUAGCAUAAUAUCCAUUGCCUUGUGGACAUAGAGAUACAUACGGCAAAUAUACCUAUAUGUCAUUUUAUGAACAAAUCCUGAAAUACAGUUAAAACAAGUUAUGAGAUAUAGGCACUGCCAGGCUUGAUCUAUGCAGCAAUGUAUUGCUGCCACCAUGACAAAAUAAAAUUUGCCCAAUUUCUUCUUAUUGUGGGAGAAGAUACACAUCUUUAAUGGAGGCUGAGUGGUAUAUACACAUGUAUUUGUUAUUACGUUAUAUAUGUUUGGAAGACUAGAAUUAUAUUAGAUUAAAAUUCAACUUCAUUUUCACUUAGCUGAG